GGCAGUUCUCGGGUGAUGCACCCCGGAAUCGGGCUCCCUCCUCUCUGGUUUUAGGGUAUGUCACUUGAGAACCGCU
Molecule: non-coding RNA, 76 nt
Organism: Myotis davidii
Lineage: Eukaryota; Metazoa; Chordata; Mammalia; Chiroptera; Vespertilionidae
Source: Rfam